This 72-nucleotide transfer RNA is filed under the name Ictidomys tridecemlineatus (thirteen-lined ground squirrel). Its description in RNAcentral is "Spermophilus tridecemlineatus (thirteen-lined ground squirrel) tRNA". It matches the Rfam family "tRNA". From Rfam's summary of the family: Transfer RNA (tRNA) molecules are approximately 80 nucleotides in length. Their secondary structure includes four short double-helical elements and three loops (D, anti-codon, and T loops). The record is from Rfam by way of RNAcentral. Lineage: Eukaryota; Metazoa; Chordata; Mammalia; Rodentia; Sciuridae.
UGGGGUGUGGCUCAGUUGUAGAGCACUCGCCUAGCAUGUGCAAGGCCCUGGGUUGGAUCCUCAGCACCACAC